UGGGGAAUAUUGCACAAUGGGCGCAAGCCUGAUGCAGCGACGCCGCGUGAGGGAUGACGGCCUUCGGGUUGUAAACCUCUUUCACCAGGGACGAAGCGCAAGUGACGGUACCUGGAGAAGAAGCACCGGCCAACUACGUGCCAGCAGCCGCGGUAAUACGUAGGGUGCGAGCGUUGUCCGGAAUUACUGGGCGUAAAGAGCUCGUAGGUGGUUUGUCGCGUUGUUCGUGAAAUCUCACGGCUUAACUGU
RNAcentral lists this ribosomal RNA (249 nucleotides) under uncultured bacterium. RNAcentral's name for it is "partial 16S ribosomal RNA". It matches the Rfam family "Bacterial small subunit ribosomal RNA", at positions 355 to 616 of the family's 1533-position model. The record is from RNAcentral.